CGCGUGCACUGGCUCGGCUGGGCCUUUCCUUCUGGAGAACCUCAUGCCCUUUACUGGGUGUGCUGGGGAACCAGGACUUUUACUCUGAACAAAUUAGAUCGCUUAAAGAAGGCCUAUGCUCGAAUACAUUAGCAUGGAAUAAUAGAAUAGGACGUGUGGUUCUAUUUUGUUGGUUUCUAGGACCGCCGUAAUGAUUAAUAGGGACAGUCGGGGGCAUCAGUAUUCAAUUGUCAGAGGUGAAAUUCUUGGAUUUAUUGAAGACUAACUACUGCGAAAGCAUUUGCCAAGGAUGUUUUCAUUAAUCAGGAACGAAAGUUAGGGGAUCGAAGACGAUCAGAUACCGUCGUAGUCUUAACCAUAAACUAUGCCGAUUAGGGAUCGGACGGUGUUAUUUUUUGACCCGUUCGGCACCUUACGAUAAAUCAAAAUGUUUGGGCUCCUGGGGGAGUAUGGUCGCAAGGCUGAAACUUAAAGGAAAUUGACGGAAGGGCACCACCAGGGGGUGGAGCCUGCGGCUUAAUUUGACUCAACACGGGGAAACUCACCAGGUCCAGACACGAUGAGGAUUGACAGAUUGAGAGCUCUUUCUUGAUUUCGUGGGUGGUGGUGCAUGGCCGUUCUUAGUUGGUGGAGUGAUUUGUCUGCUUAAUUGCGAUAACGAACGAGACCUUAAACCUGCUAAAUAGCCCGCAUUGCUUCGGCAGUACGCCGGCUUCUUAGAGGGACUAUCGG
This 732-nucleotide ribosomal RNA is filed under the name uncultured eukaryote. RNAcentral's name for it is "SSU rRNA". It matches the Rfam family "Eukaryotic small subunit ribosomal RNA", at positions 670 to 1426 of the family's 1831-position model. The record is from RNAcentral.